This 2983-nucleotide long non-coding RNA is filed under the name Homo sapiens (human). RNAcentral's name for it is "non-protein coding lnc-NCOA3-14:1". The record is from RNAcentral. Lineage: Eukaryota; Metazoa; Chordata; Mammalia; Primates; Hominidae.
CGCCUGGCCAUUUAUUUUUAUUUUUAAAAACUACCUAUUUUCCUUUUUUAUAACUUUUUUUUCACAAUGUUCUGGUCAACACUAUAGUCACCUGGGGCCUCUAAGGACUGAAAUGUAUGAGAAGGCUCAUUUGCAUGGCUGACAGUUACUGCAGGCUCUUGCCUGGAAUCUCAGCUGGGGCUGCCAAGUGGAGUUUUACUACCUCUGGUGUGAAGGCUGGGAAAUGGCAAGUGGGAAGUUGGUUGAUAAAAUUAGGAGUUUGGCUGUCUUUAUUACUACUUUUUUUUUUUUUUUGCUCUCCCCAUCUCUCAUUUUAUGAACAUCGACCCAGUUCGUCAUGGUUUAAAUAAACUGCUUGUCUUGUACCUGCCUUAACAAAACUAGCCAUGGGUCGUUGGGAGACUUAGUUGCUUCCUAGGCAGUUUGAGGGCAUCUAGGGUGGAAAAGUUAACCGAGAGAGCGAGCAUCUACCUCACUGGCAGGAUCUGGGAUUCCCAAAUGGAAUGACACGGAAGCUAUGAGAUUCUCUCGAAGUCGAAACUUUUUUCCCCCUCCCGAAUGCGAAGACUUCCUUUUUGCAAUAUUUGAGCAGGGCUUCAAAACCAACCUGUUUUUGUUAUUAAGCCUGUACGGUAAAGAAACAGGAAGGAGAGUACCAGCUGUCUUGCUGCAGUGGUUUUAAAUGGAGUUGAAUGAGAUGCGUGAGAGUGGUAGUAGUAUUGAGUAAGAUUGCUGCAUCUCUUUGAUUUAAAUGCCUGGCCUCGGAUCCACCUAACUGAUCCCUGGCUGCAAAAAAGCUUCAGUAUUUGUUGCAGCAGGUUGUUGAGAAGGUGAUUGGAGGAAUAAAAAUCUUAGGUCUUCAGCGAAUGCUGCACAAACGAAAAUGUUAAUGGAAACCUGUAAGUUUGUGAAUUGUUUGUUCUUGAAAAUAUUUUAAAUGUAUGCUCAUUUAGAAUAUGGUUCUACCGAAUGAUAUCCAAUUGGAAAGGUACAAACACAUUGAAAAGUGAAUCUCUCUUUCACGCCAAACCCUACAGUUUCCCCUUCUCAGAGGCAAAGACUGUUACUGGUUUUUAGAAUAUCCUUGGUCUUUGGAAUAAUUAUUUUAAGAUUUUCAUUUGAAACCACUUCUGUUGGAUACCAAAAGCAGGGAAAUAAAAUGAACAGAAGAAACAGAAAAUGUGGGAAUACUGUUUUUGCUCUCUUAAAAAAAAUGUUGAUAGCUAUUGGAAAAAGCUCUUCAGAACUUACUGCUUAUGUCACCUUAUCUAUUAAUACCGUUAAAUAACAAUCUGUGGGGCUUUAGGAUAAAGAACUCUGCCAGGGUUCAUUGUUUGUAUGUACAAUGAAUCCUCUGCUUGUAACAUGUAAAAUGAUAUUGAACACUAUAGCUCCUGUCACUAGAGGUUGCUUCAGGUUCUGCAUUUCAAUGAGCAGAAAUCUAAAUUGCCUGUGAUCCUAAAUUAUAGGGGCAUUUUAUGUAUAGAUGGAAAUGACUUAAUUGUCCAAUCAGCAUUUGAAAUAAGAGGCAUAUACCAGCUUUUGGCAUAUAGAAGAUGGGGAUUGUGGACUAAGCGGGAGGCUGUAAUAUUUCUAGAGCAGUUAUAGGAAAUAUUUCUGCCAUAAGAUAUUUAAUUACAAAGGCUUUGAAAAUGUACAACUUAAGCAUCAAUAGCGAGAUUUAUAUUUUUAUAUUUUAGAAUGGUUGUUUUAACAGCUUGCCAACACUAACAAUUUGCUAAGGAAAUUCAGUGAUAUUAGAGCUAGGUUAUUAAAGAUUAUAUUAAAUAAUUUAACUGUAUUUUGAAAAUGAUUAUGCUGUGCAUUUCCUUCUCUGUAUAAAAAUUAUUUCUAAAAAGUGCCACGCACCUCCCGAGCAAAUAAAAUAGAAUUCAGUAAGGAGUGAAGUACUGUUGUACGUGAGACCCUUUUUCUAGGCGAUAUGCAAAUAAAAAGUAGUUUAAAAAUGGUUGCUUACUAAUGUCUUCUUGACUGGUCUUUUGAAAUAAGCUUUCUUGCAGGGACAUUACAUUAAAGAUAAAAGCUAAGUGUGUCUUUUUUUUUUUUUUUUUUUUUUUUUAACGAAUUCAGUUCUUUCUGCCGGGCUGCAGUGGCUCAGGCCUGUAAUCCCAGCACUUUGGGAAGCCAAGGCUGGUGGAUCACGAGGUCAGGAGUUUGAGAACAGCCUGGCAAAGAUGGUGAAACCCCUUCACUACUAAAAAUACAAAAAAUUAGCCGGGCGUGGUGGCGAGCACCUGUAGUUCCAGCUACUCAGGAGGUUGAGGCAGAAGAAUGGCUUGAACCCGGGAGGCGGAGGUUGCAGUGAGCCGAGAUUGCACCACUGCACUCCAGCCUGGGCAACAGAAUGAGACUCUGUUUCAAAAAAAAAAAAAAUUCUGUCUUGUGCAUUAGCAGUAUGAUUCUGGAAUAAUUCAUUUUAACUUGGAGUACUGUAAUUGAAAAGUCUUUAAAAGAAAAUUAAAAAAUAAAUUUUAGUUUGGACAAUAGGGUAAGAUUUAAAAACUCUGCUAUUGUCCUAUCCCAAAUUGAUGGUUAAAAUAAAUGGCUUUGGGUUUUUGGUUUUUUUUUUUUUUUUUUUUUUUUUUGCGGGCAGGGGCGUUUUUUUUUUUUCUUUUCUUUCUUUUUUUUUUUUUUUGAGAAGGAAAUUUGCUCUGUUGCCCAGGCUGGAGUGCAGCGGCGCGAGCCUCCUGGGUUCAAGCAAUUCUCCUGUGUCAGCCUCCCAAGUAGCUGGGAUUACAGGUGCGCACCACCACGCCCGGCUAUUUUUGUAUUUUUAGUAGAGACAAAGUUUACCAUGUUGGCCAGGCUGGUCUCGAACUCCCAACCUCAGGUAAUCCACCUGCCUUGGCCUCCCAAAGUGCUGGGAUUACAGGUGUGAGCCAUCACGCCAGCCUGCAUUUUUUAAAAACUAUAUAAUUUCACACUUUGGCCAGAGGAGGUAGAGUACUUUUGAAAACUUUUA